Molecule: ribosomal RNA, 449 nt
Filed under: uncultured bacterium
Lineage: Bacteria
Description: partial 16S ribosomal RNA
Rfam family: Bacterial small subunit ribosomal RNA
Source: RNAcentral
GUAGGGAAUCUUCCGCAAUGGACGCAAGUCUGACGGAGCAACGCCGCGUGAGUGAUGAAGGUUUUCGGAUCGUAAAACUCUGUUGCGAGGGAAGAAACCGUGCCAACUAACUACUGGCACCUUGACGGUACCUCGCCAGAAAGCCACGGCUAACUACGUGCCAGCAGCCGCGGUAAUACGUAGGUGGCAAGCGUUGUCCGGAAUUAUUGGUCGUACAGCGCGCGCAGGCGGUCCCUUAAGUCUGAUGUGAAAGCCCACGGCUCAACCGUGGAGGGUCAUUGGAAACUGGGUGACUUGAGUGCAGAAGAGGAAAGUGGAAUUCCACGUGUAGCGGUGAAAUGCGUAGAGAUGUGGAGGAACACCAGUGGCGAAGGCGACUUUCUGGUCUGUAACUGACGCUGAGGCGCGAAAGCGUGGGGAGCAAACAGGAUUAGAAACCCUAGUAGUCC